CACACUAUCAUUACGUGAAUACAUAGCGUAAUGAAGCGAACCGGGGGAACUGAAACAUCUAAGUACCCCGAGGAAAAGAAAUCAACCGAGAUUCCCCCAGUAGCGGCGAGCGAACGGGGAGCAGCCCAGAGUCUGAAUCAGCAUGUGUGUUAGUGGAAGCGUCUGGAAAGUCGCACGAUACAGGGUGAAAGUCCCGUACACAAAAGUGCAUGUGUUGUGAACUCGAAGAGUAGGGCGGGACACGUGGUAUCCUGUCUGAAUAUGGGGGGACCAUCCUCCAAGGCUAAAUACUCCUGACUGACCGAUAGUGAACCAGUACCGUGAGGGAAAGGCGAAAAGAACCCCGGCGAGGGGAGUGAAAAAGAACCUGAAACCGUGUACGUACAAGCAGUGGGAGCACCCUUUGGGGUGUGACUGCGUACCUUUUGUAUAAUGGGUCAGCGACUUAUAUUCUGUAGCAAGGUUAACCGAAUAGGGGAGCCGAAGGGAAACCGAGUCUUAACUGGGCGUUAAGUUGCAGGGUAUAGACCCGAAACCCGGUGAUCUAGCCAUGGGCAGGUUGAAGGUUGGGUAACACUAACUGGAGGACCGAACCGACUAAUGUUGAAAAAUUAGCGGAUGACUUGUGGCUGGGGGUGAAAGGCCAAUCAAACCGGGAGAUAGCUGGUUCUCCCCGAAAGCUAUUUAGGUAGCGCCUCGUGAA
This 703-nucleotide ribosomal RNA is filed under the name Citrobacter freundii. Its description in RNAcentral is "partial 23S ribosomal RNA". It matches the Rfam family "Bacterial large subunit ribosomal RNA", at positions 144 to 888 of the family's 2925-position model. Lineage: Bacteria; Pseudomonadati; Pseudomonadota; Gammaproteobacteria; Enterobacterales; Enterobacteriaceae. RNAcentral also lists the same sequence under 3 other names. The record is from RNAcentral.